This 468-nucleotide ribosomal RNA is filed under the name uncultured bacterium. RNAcentral's name for it is "partial 16S ribosomal RNA". It matches the Rfam family "Bacterial small subunit ribosomal RNA", at positions 28 to 507 of the family's 1533-position model. The record is from RNAcentral.
GACGAACGCUGGCGGCGUGCUUAACACAUGCAAGUCGAACGGAAAGGCCCUGCUUUUGUGGGGUGCUCGAGUGGCGAACGGGUGAGUAACACGUGAGUAACCUGCCCUUGACUUUGGGAUAACUUCAGGAAACUGGGGAUAAUACCGGAUAGGAGCUCCUGCUGCAUGGUGGGGGUUGGAAAGUUUCGGCGGUUGGGGAUGGACUCGCGGGUUAUCAGCUUUUUUGUGGGGUUGGGGCUUACAAAGGGUUUGAAGGCUAGCCGGCCUUGGCGGGUGACCGGCGACAUUGGGACCGAGAUACGGCGCAGAAUCCUACGGGAGGCAGCAGUGGGGAAUAUUGCACAAUGGGCGGAAGCCUGAUGCAGCAGCGCCGCGUGCGGGAUGACGGCCUUCGGGUUGUAAACCGCUUUCGCCUGUGACGAAGCGUGAGUGACGGUAAUGGGUAAAGAAGCACCGGCUAACUACGUG